This 314-nucleotide unclassified non-coding RNA is filed under the name plant metagenome. Its description in RNAcentral is "partial contains 5.8S ribosomal RNA, internal transcribed spacer 2, and large subunit ribosomal RNA". The stretch from base 1 to 105 matches the Rfam family "5.8S ribosomal RNA", at positions 50 to 154 of the family's 154-position model. The record is from RNAcentral.
GAAACGCGAUAGUUAAUGUGAAUUGCAGAAUUCAGUGAAUCAUCGAGUCUUUGAACGCACAUUGCGCCCAUAGGUAUUCCUUUGGGCAUGUCUGUUUGAGCGUCAUUACAACCCUCAGCUAACCGCUGGUUUUGAACCUGAACGGGUGACACCGCGCCGGUUUUAAAGUUGUAAGCUCUGCUGGCCGCUCUGCCCAACCAGAACAUAGUAAGCACUACUUGUCCGGGUGAAGCUGAACGGUACGGCCUGAACAAAACCUACCCACUCUCAAGGUUUGACCUCAGAUCAGACAAGGAUACCCGCUGACCUUAAGC